GGGGGUGUAGUUCAAUUGGCAGAACAUCAGUCUUCAAAACUGAGUGUUGCGGGUUCGAGUCCUGCCACCCCCG
Molecule: transfer RNA, 73 nt
Organism: Mycoplasma suis str. Illinois
Lineage: Bacteria; Bacillati; Mycoplasmatota; Mollicutes; Mycoplasmatales; Mycoplasmataceae
Rfam family: tRNA
About the family: Transfer RNA (tRNA) molecules are approximately 80 nucleotides in length. Their secondary structure includes four short double-helical elements and three loops (D, anti-codon, and T loops).
Source: Rfam